Molecule: long non-coding RNA, 363 nt
Filed under: Mus musculus (house mouse)
Lineage: Eukaryota; Metazoa; Chordata; Mammalia; Rodentia; Muridae
Description: long non-coding RNA chr5:115198342-115198705
Source: RNAcentral
GGUGAAAGGGAGAAUGGGGGCAGGGAUUCUGUAUCGGCAGCUCUGCCUCACUGUCUGUGUAAGGGAUAGUGGAGACAGACAGACAGACAGGCCCUGGCAGCUCAUGGGCCAGACACCCCACCCACCCACAGUGUCCUCCAAAGCUAGAUAAACUGGCAUCAGGAGUUACAUCACACAGAAGUGAGGUGGAGGAGGAAGAAAUCCUAGAGGAGGGUCCAAAGGUUUGGAGUAUGAGUUAGGAAAGAAUAAGACGCGGGAAGCCUUGAUUUGGGAGCCCAGGAAGAGGCUGAUCUGAGCAUCAAGUGUGACCCAAGCAUUGGUGCCUAUGGCCUGGACUUCAGUGUGGAGCUCAGGAGGCUAGGU